RNAcentral lists this ribosomal RNA (253 nucleotides) under uncultured bacterium. Its description in RNAcentral is "partial 16S ribosomal RNA". It matches the Rfam family "Bacterial small subunit ribosomal RNA", at positions 524 to 776 of the family's 1533-position model. The record is from RNAcentral.
UACAGAGGGGGCAAGCGUUAAUCGGAAUUACUGGGCGUAAAGCGCGCGUAGGUGGUUCGUUAAGUUGGAUGUGAAAUCCCCGGGCUCAACCUGGGAACUGCAUUCAAAACUGACGAGCUAGAGUAUGGUAGAGGGUGGUGGAAUUUCCUGUGUAGCGGUGAAAUGCGUAGAUAUAGGAAGGAACACCAGUGGCGAAGGCGACCACCUGGACUGAUACUGACACUGAGGUGCGAAAGAGUGGGGAGCACACAGG